RNAcentral lists this ribosomal RNA (309 nucleotides) under uncultured Metarhizium. RNAcentral's name for it is "partial large subunit ribosomal RNA". It matches the Rfam family "Eukaryotic large subunit ribosomal RNA", at positions 40 to 350 of the family's 3401-position model. Lineage: Eukaryota; Fungi; Ascomycota; Sordariomycetes; Hypocreales; Clavicipitaceae. The record is from RNAcentral.
AUAUCAAUAAGCGGAGGAAAAGAAACCAACAGGGAUUGCCCCAGUAACGGCGAGUGAAGCGGCAACAGCUCAAAUUUGAAAUCUGGCCCCUAGGGCCCGAGUUGUAAUUUGCAGAGGAUGCUUUUGGCGAGGUGCCUUCCGAGUUCCCUGGAACGGGACGCCAUAGAGGGUGAGAGCCCCGUGAGGAGGGGCGCGCGAGCCUGUGUGAGGCCUGUCCGACGAGUCGAGUAGUUUGGGAAUGCUGCUCUAAAUGGGAGGUAUAUUCCUUCUAAAGCUAAAUACCGGCCAGAGACCGAUAGCGCACAAGUA